This 6787-nucleotide long non-coding RNA is filed under the name Triticum aestivum (bread wheat). RNAcentral describes it as "long non-coding RNA (TAES_LNC028441)". Lineage: Eukaryota; Viridiplantae; Streptophyta; Magnoliopsida; Poales; Poaceae. The record is from RNAcentral.
ACUACUUAGAUCUUGUGGACCGCUUUUUUGUAUUUUUACUACAAUAGUUUGUAUCUGUACAAUAAGAAGCUCCCCCAUUGUUUUUGUCCAAACAAAUAGUCCAGUUCUAAUAUUCUCUUUAACAAAAACAAAGUGCAGCUCACAUGAUAUUAAAAAACAUAACCUUCACUUCCCGGGGAAAGAAGUAUAUAAAGGAGUGCGUUCCGCAUCCCCUGUGAUCACCAAAAUAGUAAGCAGGGAGGAUAACAUAGCGAACUCACAGUUGUCAUUUGUACAUUAGAAGAAAACUUGUACCAUAAAUCAACAAAUGUGCAUCUUACAAUAAACAUAAGAAAUUCUGAAAUUGACACAUAAUUUUUGGAAACAGUAUGAAUACACUGUGCACAAUUUAGGUAACAGUGACACUUGAGCUUUUCGAUGUUCUUAGUCGCUAAAGUCUAUCAUUAUAGUGCAUAUUUUGUCCCCCACAUACUCCAAGAAUGCUUUGUGUGACUUCUGAAUAUUACCGAUAUUAAUCAACAUAUUAAUAGUUUAAUACUACCUCUUGUCCCCCACAUAAGUUUUCUCUAAGAAUGAAUCAUUUAUUCUGAAUUCAAUCCUAUAUCCCUGGAGCUAGUGCCUAGGUAGGCACAACCCACCUUAAUUCCAGGCUAAGUGACAUAAUAUGUAAAACACACGCUGACUAAAUAGCACAAAUAAGGCAACUCUAAUCAAGGGGAUGACAUUACCUCUUGAUACGGUCCAGUUUAAUGCAUCUGGUGGUAGGAAGUAAAGCCCAAGGAAGCCGACAUGAACAUGAGAAGUAAUCAUAGGAAACAGAGACUCUGCAUCUUCAUUUCUUCAGUAUCCCUCUUGAUCCCACUUUGUAAGACAAGAUUGCUGCACAAUUCUUAUGUACGCGUCAUAUCUAAUUACACAUUUUCAGUACAGUAAUCGGCAACCUAAGAUAAUCCCAAUGCUAGAAUUCUAGAGCGCUGGAAGCCCCAUGAUUCUUAUUUAUUCUCUAAUGCACGUGCACCCACCAAACAUACACUUUAUGAGGGAUAGUGAAUUCAAAUUUCUCAACCAGCCAAACUUAUGCAUCUAGUCAAAUUCUAAUCUUCGUAUGUAUAAGUAUGAACCUCCUUGUAAAAAUACAGGUCUAAAAAACACUCUUGCAUAGGCCACAUUUCCUCCUAUAUCUAUAUAUGAGAAUGAUUUUCAUGCUCCAGAUCACAUGUAUUUUCCAAAGGGAUUAUCAAAUGAUUAAUUAAACUCCGGAAUAGCAAUUUCUUCCUGUCCCAAAAAAUGUUUCUAGUAUCUAUCAGAGGAAGAUUGGUUGGUAGAUGAAAUUGCAGAUCAAAAAGUUCUGACCCACCACCAAGUGCCAAAAGUGCAAUAUUAGUCAUGCAAACCACAAAAUACCCCAGAUCGAAUUAAAGGUUCACCUGAUUGAUUUGUGAGACCUUCGGUGACCUCGACGGUGCACGUAGAGAGAACUGCAGGAGUUUCUUGACGGCCCAGCCCAAGGACGGCAGGAACGGUGAUGACUGCACCUCUUGCGCUCGGAAGGUAAAUUAUGGUCGCAAGGUAGCAAUGAGUUUCGUAGAAUGCAAACUUCAUUCUCAGUGCCCUUUGAAGCUGUUAAACCAAAUUAACAACACAAUUGCCUAGUCACUUAUUCCGGAUCUUAAAACCUAUGCAAGGUAGAUUUGCAAGGCUCAUUAAUCCAAUGCUUUAUUUCGGUGAAGAUUGAGAUCUAAGAGGAUAGGAAACGAAAGGGGUGAGUUUUACCAUUUGAUAGGCUGCAAUAUGAACUCCAUCCCCUUUGAUGGCGUCGUCUUCCUCAGCCGGCCUCCACUCUCACCCAUGCAUCGAGCAUUGUCAGUUAUGAUUAAUGAACAUUUACAUCAAAAUUUCAUAUUUCUCUGCCACAUAUAUACACAAUUAGAUGGAUGACAAAACUGAAAACUAAAUCUGAAGCAUCUGUUGCNNNNNNNNNNUCCGGGAGGUGGUUGGCGGCGAUUGGUGCCACGACAACCUCCCGGACUAGUUUGGGGAGGUCUUUAGACUCCCCGACGCUAGUCGCCCUCCCACUUGGGUAGCUCUGGGUACCCUGGCAUGGACCCUCUGGUGUACCCAUAAUAAACUAGUCAUUGAGCGUGUGAUUCCUCGUCGUGUGACCGAUGCAAUCUAUAAAAUGUGUGGCUUCUUACAGCUUUGGAGACCGCUUAGCAAGCGGCGCGACCGAGACGUCAUCGACAACAUCAUUGCGGGUCUUCGUUCUUCGGCGUCGGCUUUUGCCCCUCCACUGCCUCCUAAGCCGGAUUAGCUUUUUUAGCUUUGUUUGGGGCUUGUCUUGCUGUGCCCCCAGCAUGACUUUAUGACUUGUUUGUACUCUGUACUGCUGUGUUGGAUGCUUGGUUCGUUGUUUUAUAAUAUAAAGCGGGGGGAAACCCUUUUUCUCAACUAGACGGUGGAGAUAUCAGGUUCAGUUGAGCCAAGGCUCAGAAAGAAUAUUCGUCCAAAGUAGCAAAUAUCCAUUUCUGAGCGCGAUCUCAUCAGCACCAUAUGAACAGUAAAAUAAAAUAAAUACUACAAAAAAUAAAUAAAAAGUGCAUGGAAGAUGUUUCAGUGCGUGAGGUCCGUGCAAAAUUUCAGCUUGUUUGAACAUCUGAGUAGCUCUUAGCAAAAGAAAACUGCCAAAAUAGUACAUGAACAGUACACUGUUUCACAAACAUCAAAUUUGUCUAUUUUGCUGAGAGCUACUCAGAUGUCCAAAUGAGCUGAAAUUUGGCAUGGACCUCACACACUGAAAUGUCUAUCUUGCAAAAAGGAAUUUUUUUUAUUUUUUCUAGUAUUUUAUUUGAUUUUACUGUUCAUGGCCAGUGUAGAUGAGCUCGGGAGCCAAUUUGCCCCUAUCCCAAAGUAGCUACUUUUCUGUCUAAAGUUGUUGAACCUAAAAUUUGGCACUUCAAACUGGACAUGUCACGUAUGCACAACAGUAGUUUUCUUUGAGUUCCAUGUGCACACCUGUCUGUAUCAUGUGUAAGAUAUUGUCGAAUGCAUAGCACUGGUCGCUUCCGGGUGUGCAAAACCGAACCGUAAACCAAAAACCAAACCGAGCCAAAAUUUUGGGGUUUUCAAGUUUCGGUUUCAGUUUCAGUUUUGAAGUCUGAAAACCGUUUGCAUUUCGAUUGGUUAAACCGUUUGCAUUUCAAUUGGGCUGCUAUAGUACAAUACUUUCUAGCCAUUUAGUGCUUCAGUUUACGUGAUAGUAAACAUGCACGUGCAACGCACGUCUAGACAAACAUACUAUGGCUAAAGUUCGGCAAAAACAACUCUUACAUUUUACACAUAUUCUCUGCACAAGGCAAACUGAUGCAUGAAAGCACUCCAUGUUACUACUUAGAUCUUGUGGACCGCUUUUUUGUAUUUUUACUACAAUAGUUUGUAUCUGUACAAUAAGAAGCUCCCCCAUUGUUUUUGUCCAAACAAAUAGUCCAGUUCUAAUAUUCUCUUUAACAAAAACAAAGUGCAGCUCACAUGAUAUUAAAAAACAUAACCUUCACUUCCCGGGGAAAGAAGUAUAUAAAGGAGUGCGUUCCGCAUCCCCUGUGAUCACCAAAAUAGUAAGCAGGGAGGAUAACAUAGCGAACUCACAGUUGUCAUUUGUACAUUAGAAGAAAACUUGUACCAUAAAUCAACAAAUGUGCAUCUUACAAUNNNNNNNNNNAAGGACGGCAGGAACGGUGAUGACUGCACCUCUUGCGCUCGGAAGGUAAAUUAUGGUCGCAAGGUAGCAAUGAGUUUCGUAGAAUGCAAACUUCAUUCUCAGUGCCCUUUGAAGCUGUUAAACCAAAUUAACAACACAAUUGCCUAGUCACUUAUUCCGGAUCUUAAAACCUAUGCAAGGUAGAUUUGCAAGGCUCAUUAAUCCAAUGCUUUAUUUCGGUGAAGAUUGAGAUCUAAGAGGAUAGGAAACGAAAGGGGUGAGUUUUACCAUUUGAUAGGCUGCAAUAUGAACUCCAUCCCCUUUGAUGGCGUCGUCUUCCUCAGCCGGCCUCCACUCUCACCCAUGCAUCGAGCAUUGUCAGUUAUGAUUAAUGAACAUUUACAUCAAAAUUUCAUAUUUCUCUGCCACAUAUAUACACAAUUAGAUGGAUGACAAAACUGAAAACUAAAUCUGAAGCAUCUGUUGCAUAAAAUUGCAAGUAAUUAAACACUCACAUGGAGGAUCCGGCAACAAGAUAUGAUCUCCCUUGCUCCGUCCAUGCACGGACGAAGCGGCUCGACGACCCAGCCGGCGGGACCCUGGCCGCCAGCAUACACCUUGUGCAGGUCCUCCUCCACCUCAUCCGUCACUCCGCACUUUUUCGCCCGCAACCACCCCAUCCCGUGCGCCGCCCGCCGCAGCCGCUCCAGCUCACUGGUGUCCAGCAGCCGCAAGGCGGGCGUCGGCUCGUGCGCCAAUACUCGUCCCCCGCCGGGUCCCACGGGACCGGCCUCCCACUCCCAUCUCCCCUGCCUCCUCUUCCCGAUCUUCCUCCAGUGGGAUGUGGAAUAAGGGAUGCUGCUGCGGGCUAGGUACGGUCUGGGCUUCGGACUUGAAGGCUAGGUCAAGGGAGCUGACCCGGCGGGUGAUCCCGAGGACGACACGGCGAGCGCGGCCGCCGGGGACACCGGCGCUGAGGGGAUUCUCGUGGCCGUCGCAAUCGCUAGGGCUGUGUCCGUGGCAGAGAGGAUGUGCCUAUAUCUUUUACGUACUUGAUUGCCCCAUUGUUUUUUUCUGGACGCGGAUGAUAGGGGUGCGAUAGAUGUGGCAGAGUUCCGUCCGCUCGUGCAAAUUGCUAAACAUACACAGGUGAGGGUUAAUUCUAAUGCCAACGGUUAGAUCUAAUUAGAUAGGUUAGAUCGUGGGGUGGUAUUUGGUCUUAAUUUUUCUGUGUACGUGUUUCUGGGUGCGUUUAGGAAAGAAUAUGUUUGCUUGUUUAUUAAUAGUAGAGAAGACUUGGCCAAACGAGCCGGCCACAUCAAGGGGAUUUGCCCCCAUCUUGUCCCCAAUGAAGGUCUAACCCACCUCCAGUAUGCAGAUGACACCAUUAUGAUGGUGGAAGGCUCGGACAAGGACAUCCAGAACCUCAAGUUCCUCCUCCUCUGCUUUCAGGAGAUGUCGGGCCUCACGAUUAAUUUCGCCAAAAGUGAGGUGAUGGUCCUUGGAUACUCUUAGGCGGAAGCUCAGCGAAUUGCUAAUCGCUUGAAUUUCCGCUUGGGGUCCUUCCCGACUACUUACCUAGGCAUGCCAAUUAGCGACACGCGUCUACUGGAGAAAGACUUCCGCCCAAUAAUCGCCAAACUCCAACCUCGGAUGGAGCCUUGGUAGGGGAGAUGGCUGUCCAAAGCCACGCGAGUGAUUUUGAUGAACUCCUCCCUUAUUAGCCUACUGAUGUACGUCAUGGGAUUCUAUAGUCUACAUGAAUCCCUACAUCACGAGGUCACCAAACUCCUCUCCAGAUUCUUCUGGGCUGGAGAGAACAAUAAACAAAAGUACCACAUGGUGAAGUGGUCUGAGAUCUGUAAGCCUAAAGACCAACGAGGCAUUGGGGUCAUUUCGUCCAAGCGGAUGAAUAUUGCCCUCCUCUCUAAAUGGCUUUGGCGGAUUCAGACCGAUGAGGGCGGCCUCUAGCUUGAGAUUAUCCGGGCAAAGUACCUCUGCGGGCAACCGCUAGCCUUCACCCCUAGAUCUGGAGGGUCCGAAUUCUAGCAAUCGGUGAUCUGUCUGAUGCCGGUAUUGCGCAUUGGGACCUCCAUUAAGGUGAGCACCGGUUCCGACACCCUCUUUUGGCUGGAUAGAUGGGCCGGGACCCGUCCCUUCGCUGAACGCUUUUAUGCGCUAUUCUCGAUCUGUGUCCGCCCUCAGCUAUCGCUUUAGCUGACCUGGGCGCUAUUGCCUUCCACCAUANNNNNNNNNNAACAUAAGAAAUUCUGAAAUUGACACAUAAUUUUUGGAAACAGUAUGAAUACACUGUGCACAAUUUAGGUAACAGUGACACUUGAGCUUUUCGAUGUUCUUAGUCGCUAAAGUCUAUCAUUAUAGUGCAUAUUUUGUCCCCCACAUACUCCAAGAAUGCUUUGUGUGACUUCUGAAUAUUACCGAUAUUAAUCAACAUAUUAAUAGUUUAAUACUACCUCUUGUCCCCCACAUAAGUUUUCUCUAAGAAUGAAUCAUUUAUUCUGAAUUCAAUCCUAUAUCCCUGGAGCUAGUGCCUAGGUAGGCACAACCCACCUUAAUUCCAGGCUAAGUGACAUAAUAUGUAAAACACACGCUGACUAAAUAGCACAAAUAAGGCAACUCUAAUCAAGGGGAUGACAUUACCUCUUGAUACGGUCCAGUUUAAUGCAUCUGGUGGUAGGAAGUAAAGCCCAAGGAAGCCGACAUGAACAUGAGAAGUAAUCAUAGGAAACAGAGACUCUGCAUCUUCAUUUCUUCAGUAUCCCUCUUGAUCCCACUUUGUAAGACAAGAUUGCUGCACAAUUCUUAUGUACGCGUCAUAUCUAAUUACACAUUUUCAGUACAGUAAUCGGCAACCUAAGAUAAUCCCAAUGCUAGAAUUCUAGAGCGCUGGAAGCCCCAUGAUUCUUAUUUAUUCUCUAAUGCACGUGCACCCACCAAACAUACACUUUAUGAGGGAUAGUGAAUUCAAAUUUCUCAACCAGCCAAACUUAUGCAUCUAGUCAAAUUCUAAUCUUCGUAUGUAUAAGUAUGAACCUCCUUGUAAAAAUACAGGUCUAAAAAACACUCUUGCAU